AUUGAACGCUGGCGGCAUGCCUUACACAUGCAAGUCGAACGGUAACGGGCCUUCGGUGCCGACGAGUGGCGAACGGGUGAGUAAUGCAUCGGAACGUACCUUUCAGUGGGGGAUAACGUAGCGAAAGUUACGCUAAUACCGCAUAUUCUGUGAGCAGGAAAGCAGGGGAUCGCAAGACCUUGCGCUGAUUGAGCGGCCGAUGUCAGAUUAGCUAGUUGGUGAGGUAAAGGCUCACCAAGGCGACGAUCUGUAGCGGGUCUGAGAGGAUGAUCCGCCACACUGGAACUGAGACACGGUCCAGACUCCUACGGGAGGCAGCAGUGGGGAAUUUUGGACAAUGGGGGCAACCCUGAUCCAGCCAUGCCGCGUGAGUGAAGAAGGCCUCGGUUGUAAG
RNAcentral lists this ribosomal RNA (394 nucleotides) under uncultured bacterium. Its description in RNAcentral is "bacterial SSU rRNA". It matches the Rfam family "Bacterial small subunit ribosomal RNA", at positions 30 to 429 of the family's 1533-position model. The record is from RNAcentral.